GACGAACGCUGGCGGCGUGCUUAACACAUGCAAGUCGAACGGAAAGGCCCUGCUUUUGUGGGGUGCUCGAGUGGCGAACGGGUGAGUAACACGUGAGUAACCUGCCCUUGACUUUGGGAUAACUUCAGGAAACUGGGGCUAAUACCGGAUAGGAGCUCCUGCUGCAUGGUGGGGGUUGGAAAGUUUCGGCGGUUGGGGAUGGACUCGCGGCUUAUCAGCUUGUUGGUGGGGUAGUGGCUUACCAAGGCUUUGACGGGUAGCCGGCCUGAGAGGGUGACCGGGCACAUUGGGACUGAGAUACGGCCCAGACUCCUACGGGAGGCAGCAGGGGGGAAUAUUGCACAAUGGGCGGAAGCCUGAUGCAGCAACGCCGCGUGCGGGAAGACGGCCUUCGGGUUGUAAACCGCUUUCGCCUGUGACGAAGCGUGAGUGACGGUAAUGGGUAAAGAAGCACCGGCUAACUACGUG
This 468-nucleotide ribosomal RNA is filed under the name uncultured bacterium. RNAcentral's name for it is "partial 16S ribosomal RNA". It matches the Rfam family "Bacterial small subunit ribosomal RNA", at positions 28 to 507 of the family's 1533-position model. The record is from RNAcentral.